AGCGAACGCUGGCGGCAGGCCUAACACAUGCAAGUCGAACGAACCUUUCGGGGUUAGUGGCGGACGGGUGAGUAACACGUGGGAACGUGCCUUUAGGUUCGGAAUAACUCAGGGAAACUUGUGCUAAUACCGAAUGUGUCCUUCGGGGGAAAGAUUAAUCGCCUUUAGAGCGGCCCGCGUCUGAUUAGCUAGUUGGUUGAGGUAAUGGCUCACCAAGGCGACGAUCAGUAGCUGGUCUGAGAGGAUGAUCAGCCACAUUGGGACUGAGACACGGCCCAAACUCCUACGGGAGGCAGCAGUGGGGAAUCUUGCGCAAUGGGCGAAAGCCUGACGCAGCCAUGCCGCGUGAAUGAUGAAGGUCUUAGGAUUGUAAAAUUCUUUCACCGGGGACGAUAAUGACGGUACCCGGAGAAGAAGCCCCGGCUAACUUCGUG
This 434-nucleotide ribosomal RNA is filed under the name uncultured bacterium. RNAcentral's name for it is "partial 16S ribosomal RNA". It matches the Rfam family "Bacterial small subunit ribosomal RNA", at positions 29 to 507 of the family's 1533-position model. The record is from RNAcentral.